UACAUGGGGUGCAAACGUUGCUCGGAAUCAUUGGGCGUAAAGGGUGCGUAGGCGGCGGGGCAAGUCUGAUGUGAAAUCCCGGGGCUCAACCCCGGAACUGCAUUGGAUACUGCCUUGCUAGAGUACUGGAGAGGGAACUGGAAUUUACGGUGUAGCAGUGAAAUGCGUAGAGAUCGUAAGGAAGGCCAGUGGCGAAGGCGAGUUCCUGGACAGUUACUGACGCUGAGGCACGAAGGCCAGGGGAGCAAACGGG
This 253-nucleotide ribosomal RNA is filed under the name uncultured bacterium. Its description in RNAcentral is "partial 16S ribosomal RNA". It matches the Rfam family "Bacterial small subunit ribosomal RNA", at positions 524 to 776 of the family's 1533-position model. The record is from RNAcentral.